GGGUUGUGAGGUUAAGCGACUAAGCGUACACGGUGGAUGCCCUGGCAGUCAGAGGCGAUGAAGGACGUGCUAAUCUGCGAAAAGCGUCGGUAAGGUGAUAUGAACCGUUAUAGCCGGCGAUGUCCGAAUGGGGAAACCCAGUGCAAUUCGUUGCACUAUCGUUAACUGAAUACAUAGGUUAACGAGGCGAACCGGGGGAACUGAAACAUCUAAGUACCCCGAGGAAAAGAAAUCAACCGAGAUUCCCCCAGUAGCGGCGAGCGAACGGGGAGCAGCCCAGAGUCUGAAUCAGCUUGUGUGUUAGUGGAACGGUCUGGAAAGUCCGACGGUACAGGGUGAUAGUCCCGUACACCAAAAUGCACAGGUUGUGAACUCGAAGAGUAGGGCGGGACACGUGGUAUCCUGUCUGAAUAUGGGGGGACCAUCCUCCAAGGCUAAAUACUCCUGACUGACCGAUAGUGAACCAGUACCGUGAGGGAAAGGCGAAAAGAACCCCGGCGAGGGGAGUGAAAAAGAACCUGAAACCGUGUACGUACAAGCAGUGGGAGCACCUUCGGGUGUGACUGCGUACCUUUUGUAUAAUGGGUCAGCGACUUAUAUUCUGUAGCAAGGUUAACCGUAUAGGGGAGCCGCAGGGAAACCGAGUCUUAACUGGGCGUUAAGUUGCAGGGUAUAGACCCGAAACCCGGUGAUCUAGCCAUGGGCAGGUUGAAGGUUGGGUAACACUAACUGGAGGACCGAACCGACUAAUGUUGAAAAAUUAGCGGAUGACUUGUGGCUGGGGGUGAAAGGCCAAUCAAACCGGGAGAUAGCUGGUUCUCCCCGAAAGCUAUUUAGGUAGCGCCUCGUGAACUCAUCUUCGGGGGUAGAGCACUGUUUCGGCUAGGGGGUCAUCCCGACUUACCAACCCGAUGCAAACUACGAAUACCGAAGAAUGUUAUCACGGGAGACACACGGCGGGUGCUAACGUCCGUCGUGAAGAGGGAAACAACCCAGACCGCCAGCUAAGGUCCCAAAGUCAUGGUUAAGUGGGAAACGAUGUGGGAAGGCACAGACAGCCAGGAUGUUGGCUUAGAAGCAGCCAUCAUUUAAAGAAAGCGUAAUAGCUCACUGGUCGAGUCGGCCUGCGCGGAAGAUGUAACGGGGCUAAACCAUGCACCGAAGCUGCGGCAGCGACACUAUGUGUUGUUGGGUAGGGGAGCGUUCUGUAAGCCUGCGAAGGUGACCUGUGAGGGUUGCUGGAGGUAUCAGAAGUGCGAAUGCUGACAUAAGUAACGAUAAAGCGGGUGAAAAGCCCGCUCGCCGGAAGACCAAGGGUUCCUGUCCAACGUUAAUCGGGGCAGGGUGAGUCGACCCCUAAGGCGAGGCCGAAAGGCGUAGUCGAUGGGAAACAGGUUAAUAUUCCUGUACUUGGUGUUACUGCGAAGGGGGGACGGAGAAGGCUAUGUUAGCCGGGCGACGGUUGUCCCGGUUUAAGCAUGUAGGCUGAUUGUCCAGGCAAAUCCGGAUAAUCAAGGCUGAGGUGUGAUGACGAGGCACUACGGUGCUGAAGUAACAAAUGCCCUGCUUCCAGGAAAAGCCUCUAAGCAUCAGGUAACAUCAAAUCGUACCCCAAACCGACACAGGUGGUCAGGUAGAGAAUACCAAGGCGCUUGAGAGAACUCGGGUGAAGGAACUAGGCAAAAUGGUGCCGUAACUUCGGGAGAAGGCACGCUGGUGUGUAGGUGAAGUCCCUGCGGAUGGAGCUGAGACCAGUCGAAGAUACCAGCUGGCUGCAACUGUUUAUUAAAAACACAGCACUGUGCAAACACGAAAGUGGACGUAUACGGUGUGACGCCUGCCCGGUGCCGGAAGGUUAAUUGAUGGGGUUAUCCGUAAGGAGAAGCUCUUGAUCGAAGCCCCGGUAAACGGCGGCCGUAACUAUAACGGUCCUAAGGUAGCGAAAUUCCUUGUCGGGUAAGUUCCGACCUGCACGAAUGGCGUAAUGAUGGCCAGGCUGUCUCCACCCGAGACUCAGUGAAAUUGAACUCGCUGUGAAGAUGCAGUGUACCCGCGGCAAGACGGAAAGACCCCGUGAACCUUUACUAUAGCUUGACACUGAACAUUGAGCCUUGAUGUGUAGGAUAGGUGGGAGGCUUUGAAGCGUGGACGCCAGUCUGCGUGGAGCCAACCUUGAAAUACCACCCUUUAAUGUUUGAUGUUCUAACGUUGGCCCCUUACCGGGGUUGCGGACAGUGUCUGGUGGGUAGUUUGGCUGGGGCGGUCUCCUCCCAAAGCGUAACGGAGGAGCACGAAGGUUAGCUAAUCCUGGUCGGACAUCAGGAGGUUAGUGCAAUGGCAUAAGCUAGCUUGACUGCGAGCGUGACGGCGCGAGCAGGUGCGAAAGCAGGUCAUAGUGAUCCGGUGGUUCUGAAUGGAAGGGCCAUCGCUCAACGGAUAAAAGGUACUCCGGGGAUAACAGGCUGAUACCGCCCAAGAGUUCAUAUCGACGGCGGUGUUUGGCACCUCGAUGUCGGCUCAUCACAUCCUGGGGCUGAAGUAGGUCCCAAGGGUAUGGCUGUUCGCCAUUUAAAGUGGUACGCGAGCUGGGUUUAGAACGUCGUGAGACAGUUCGGUCCCUAUCUGCCGUGGGCGCUGGAGAAUUGAGGGGGGCUGCUCCUAGUACGAGAGGACCGGAGUGGACGCAUCACUGGUGUUCGGGUUGUCAUGCCAAUGGCACUGCCCGGUAGCUAAAUGCGGAAGAGAUAAGUGCUGAAAGCAUCUAAGCACGAAACUUGCCCCGAGAUGAGUUCUCCCUGAGACUUUAAGUCUCCUGAAGGAACGUUGAAGACGACGACGUUGAUAGGCCGGGUGUGUAAGCGCAGCGAUGCGUUGAGCUAACCGGUACUAAUGAACCGUGAGGCUUAACCUUACAACGCCGAAG
This 2923-nucleotide ribosomal RNA is filed under the name Klebsiella pneumoniae. RNAcentral describes it as "bacterial LSU rRNA". It matches the Rfam family "Bacterial large subunit ribosomal RNA". Lineage: Bacteria; Pseudomonadati; Pseudomonadota; Gammaproteobacteria; Enterobacterales; Enterobacteriaceae. The record is from RNAcentral.